GAUGAAGAACGUAGCGAAAUGCGAUAAGUAAUGUGAAUUGCAGAAUUCAGUGAAUCAUCGAAUCUUUGAACGCACAUUGCGCCCGCGAGUAUUCUCGCGGGCAUGCCUGUCCGAGCGUCAUUUCAACCCUCAGGGCCCGCCUGCUUCGGCAGGCGCGGCGCUGGUGUUGGGGAUCGGCCUAACCGCCGUCCCCCAAAUACAGUGGCGGUCUCGCUGCAGCCUCCCCUGCGUAGUAGCAACACUCGCAUGCGGAGCGCGGCGCGGCCACGCCGUAAAACCCCCGACUUUCUGAACGUUGACCUCGGAUCAGGUAGGAAUAUCCGCUGAACUUAAGCAUAUCAAUAAGCGGAGGA
Molecule: unclassified non-coding RNA, 353 nt
Filed under: soil metagenome
Description: partial contains 5.8S ribosomal RNA, internal transcribed spacer 2, and large subunit ribosomal RNA
Rfam family: 5.8S ribosomal RNA (bases 1-120)
Source: RNAcentral